CACGCCGUAAACGAUGAGUGCUAGGUGUCGGAGGCGACAGUCUUCGGUGCCGCAGUUAACGCAUUAAGCACUCCGCCUGGGGAUUACGAUCGCAAGAUUGAAACUCAAAGGAAUUGACGGGGGCCCGCACAAGCAGCGGAGCAUGUGGUUUAAUUCGAAGCAACGCGAAGAACCUUACCAGAACUUGACAUCCCUCGGACCGCUUUAGAGAUAAAGCCUUCCCUUCGGGGACUGAGGUGACAGGUGG
This 247-nucleotide ribosomal RNA is filed under the name uncultured Eubacteriales bacterium. RNAcentral describes it as "uncultured Clostridiales bacterium partial 16S ribosomal RNA". It matches the Rfam family "Bacterial small subunit ribosomal RNA", at positions 796 to 1041 of the family's 1533-position model. The record is from RNAcentral. Lineage: Bacteria; Bacillati; Bacillota; Clostridia; Eubacteriales.